Molecule: transfer RNA, 77 nt
Filed under: Paramuricea clavata
Lineage: Eukaryota; Metazoa; Cnidaria; Anthozoa; Malacalcyonacea; Plexauridae
Rfam family: tRNA
About the family: Transfer RNA (tRNA) molecules are approximately 80 nucleotides in length. Their secondary structure includes four short double-helical elements and three loops (D, anti-codon, and T loops).
Source: RNAcentral
GUGUCAUUAGCUCAGGGGUUAGAGCGCUGGUCGAUCUAGUAAGCCAGGGUUGAAGAGUUCAAAUCUCUGAUGAAGCU